CAGAAUAUAGCGCAGCUUGGUAGCGCGUCGGCUUAGGGAGCUGAAGGUCGAAGGUUCAAAUCCUUCUAUUCUGA
RNAcentral lists this transfer RNA (74 nucleotides) under Mychonastes homosphaera. RNAcentral's name for it is "tRNA-Pro". It matches the Rfam family "tRNA". From Rfam's summary of the family: Transfer RNA (tRNA) molecules are approximately 80 nucleotides in length. The record is from RNAcentral. Lineage: Eukaryota; Viridiplantae; Chlorophyta; Chlorophyceae; Sphaeropleales; Mychonastaceae.